CCUACGGGUGGCAGCAGUGAGGAAUAUUGGUCAAUGGGCGGAAGCCUGAACCAGCCAAGUAGCGUGCAGGAUGACGGCCCUACGGGUUGUAAACUGCUUUUAUACGGGAAUAACACGCCUUACGUGUAGGGCUUUGCAUGUACCGUAUGAAUAAGGACCGGCUAAUUCCGUGCCAGCAGCCGCGGUAAUACGGAAGGUCCGGGCGUUAUCCGGAUUUAUUGGGUUUAACGGGCGCGUAGGCCGCAUGUCAAGCGUGCUGUGAAAUGUCCGGGCCCAACCCGGGCCUUGCCGGGCGAACGGGCGUGCUUGAGUCCGCGGCAAGCAGGCGGAAUUCGUCGUGUAGCGGU
Molecule: ribosomal RNA, 347 nt
Filed under: uncultured bacterium
Lineage: Bacteria
Description: partial 16S ribosomal RNA
Rfam family: Bacterial small subunit ribosomal RNA
Source: RNAcentral